RNAcentral lists this ribosomal RNA (497 nucleotides) under uncultured bacterium. RNAcentral describes it as "partial 16S ribosomal RNA". It matches the Rfam family "Bacterial small subunit ribosomal RNA", at positions 28 to 507 of the family's 1533-position model. The record is from RNAcentral.
GAUGAACGCUGGCGGCGUGCCUAAUACAUGCAAGUCGAGCGAACAGACGAGGAGCUUGCUCCUCUGACGUUAGCGGCGGACGGGUGAGUAACACGUGGAUAACCUACCUAUAAGACUGGGAUAACUUCGGGAAACCGGAGCUAAUACCGGAUAAUAUAUUGAACCGCAUGGUUCAAUAGUGAAAGACGGUUUUGCUGUCACUUAUAGAUUGAUCCGCGCCGCAUUAGCUAGUUGGUAAGGUAACGGCUUACCAAGGCAACGAUGCGUAGCCGACCUGGGAGGGUGAUCGGCCACACUGGAACUGAGACACGGUCCAGACUCCUACGGGAGGCAGCAGUAGGGAAUCUUCCGCAAUGGGCGAAAGCCUGACGGAGCAACGCCGCGUGAGUGAUGAAGGUCUUCGGAUCGUAAAACUCUGUUAUUAGGGAAGAACAAAUGUGUAAGUAACUAUGCACGUCUUGACGGUACCUAAUCAGAAAGCCACGGCUAACUACGUG